Drosophila obscura is the source of this 6621-nucleotide RNA transcript. It is a transcript of the gene named inositol hexakisphosphate and diphosphoinositol-pentakisphosphate kinase, with no coding region annotated. NCBI's taxonomy places the organism in Eukaryota, Metazoa, Arthropoda, Insecta, Diptera, Drosophilidae. The record is from RefSeq and is a predicted model, not a curated record. The transcript has 13 exons.
GACAACAACAGCAACAGAAACAGCAAAAGCAAAAGCAAUGACAACGACAAAGAUGAUAAGAUCGACGCACGCUUACGCUUUCAGUAUGGCGAAACAAUUACACAAAGAGAGCGACAACCAUCUGACGCCUCUCUGUGCGAGUAUCUCACCGCUGUGGCUCUCUUUGCUCGGCGAGUGAGUGGGCGCAGGCCAUUGGGCACACUCCGUGACCUCACUCCUCCGCCUCUCUUCACUCUGAUCCGUCCGAUACUGUACGAUCCGAUCCGAUCCGAUUCGAUACGAUCCAGUGUGAUCUGCUGUUUGAGUACUCACGUCAGUUGCUUGCCGUACACGGAACAGUUCGCGACCCCAGUCAGGCCCACGUCGCUUGCUUCGCUUCAAAUUGUGUCGGAAUUCGGUUGCUUUGGCACGUACCGCACCACGUACCGUACCGGUUGAGUGGGGACCCCGAUUCGUGGAAACUACGAAAUGGAAUGGACCUGGCUCAAGGACUGGUGGCGCCUCAAAAAGCUGCGCUCUCGCCACCAGCGCCACAAGAAGAAACUCGUGGCAGCAGCGGCGGAGGGCGCCGCAGUAAGCACAGCCGCGGCCCUGCCCGGAUCAGAUGCAGUGGCGGGGGGCGGGGUCUUGAGCCGGGACGAUCGUCGGGCCAGUCGCCGUCACAGCGUGGAGGCGACCACAGGGGAGGAUUCAGGGCAUGCCCAGCGACGCGGACGUGUCCGGGAUCGACUGCGCCGCAACCGUUUGCUGCAGUGUCAGCGGCGGAGUCUAAGCGCCGGCGUCCACGCCAAGCAGCAGGACAAGGAUAUGGCUGAUGAUGACGAUGACGGGGAAUACGGACCCUUCAACGUCAGCGACUACGAGGACUAUGGACCGAGCCAUGGCAGCGAUGGGGAGAGCGACGACUUCUGCUACUGUGACAUCUGUCUGAAUGGCGACACGGACUUUGGGGAAAGCAAUGACGGCAUGGACUCCGACACGAGCACCUCCUCCAGCAGCAGCAAGCAAGUGAUGGUCGGCAUCUGUGCAAUGGCCAAGAAGACGCAGUCGAAGCCAAUGAAGGAGAUCCUCACGCGGCUCGGCGAGUUCGAGUUCAUCAAGCUGGUCACGUUCGAGGAGAACGUGAUACUGCGCGAGCCGGUCCAGAACUGGCCCACCUGCGACUGCCUGGUCUCGUUCCACUCGAAGGGAUUCCCCCUGGAGAAGGCCAUCGAGUACGCCCAGCUUCGCAAUCCGUUUGUCCUCAAUAACCUGCACAUGCAGUACGACAUCCAGGACAGGCGGCGGGUCUAUGCCAUACUCGAGAAGGAGGGCAUCGAGAUACCACGCUAUGCGGUCCUCGAUCGCGACUCGCCCGAUCCCAAGCAUCACGAGCUGAUCGAAUCGGAGGACCAUGUCGAGGUCAAUGGGAUCACCUUCAACAAGCCGUUCGUAGAGAAGCCAGUCUCGGCGGAGGACCACAACAUCUACAUCUACUACCCGACCUCGGCGGGAGGUGGAAGUCAGCGUUUGUUUCGUAAGAUCGGCAGUAGGAGCAGUGUCUAUUCGCCGGAGUCGCGUGUGCGCAAGACGGGCUCGUUUAUCUACGAGGACUUCAUGCCCACCGAUGUGUACUUUUCAGGCACCGACGUGAAGGUCUACACCGUGGGACCGGACUACGCCCAUGCGGAGGCCCGCAAGAGUCCCGCGCUGGACGGCAAGGUGGAGCGCGACAGCGAGGGCAAGGAGAUCCGCUACCCAGUGAUCCUCAAUCACUCCGAGAAGCUCAUUUCCCGCAAAGUGUGCCUGGCCUUCAAGCAAACCGUCUGCGGCUUUGAUCUUCUGCGGGCCAAUGGCAAGAGCUACGUAUGCGAUGUGAAUGGCUUCAGUUUCGUGAAGAACUCAAACAAAUACUACGAUGACUGCGCCAAGAUCCUGGGCAACAUGAUACUCAGGGAGCUGACGCCCACGCUGCACAUUCCCUGGUCGGUGCCCUUCCAACUGGACGAUCCACCCAUCGUCCCCACCACCUUUGGCAAGAUGAUGGAGCUGCGAUGUGUGGUGGCCGUGAUCCGGCAUGGGGAUCGCACGCCCAAGCAAAAGAUGAAGGUCGAAGUGCGGCAUCCAAAAUUCUUUGAGAUUUUCGAGAAGUACGAUGGCUACAAGCUGGGCCAUGUGAAGCUGAAGCGGCCCAAGCAGCUGCAGGAGAUCCUCGACAUAGCCCGCUUCUUGCUCAGCGAGAUCCACACCAAGGCACACGCGGAGAUCGAGGAAAAGGAAAGCAAGCUGGAGCAGCUGAAGAACGUCCUGGAGAUGUACGGCCACUUCUCGGGCAUCAAUAGGAAGGUGCAGAUGAAGUACCAGCCGAAGGGACGACCCCGCGGCUCCAGUUCCGAUGACACCAAUCUUCCAGCGGAAUCCCCUGCAGAACCGUCGCUAGUGCUCAUCCUCAAGUGGGGUGGCGAGCUCACCCCCGCCGGACGCAUCCAGGCCGAGGAACUGGGUCGCAUUUUCCGCUGCAUGUAUCCAGGAGGUCAGGGACGAUCCGACUACUCGGGCACGCAGGGAUUGGGUUUACUACGCUUGCACUCAACCUUUCGACACGAUCUGAAGAUCUACGCCUCGGACGAGGGUCGGGUCCAGAUGACGGCGGCUGCCUUCGCCAAGGGUCUGCUGGCCCUCGAGGGCGAGCUGACGCCCAUUCUGGUGCAGAUGGUUAAGAGCGCCAACACGAAUGGGCUGCUGGACAACGAUUGCGACUCCAGCAAAUACCAGAAUCGGGCCAAGGGUCGCCUGCACGAGCUAAUGCAAAACGAUCGCGAAUUCACAAAGGAUGAUCGCGAGCAUAUCAAUCCGUGCAACAGCAAAUCGAUCACUCAGGCGCUGGACUUUGUGAAGAAUCCGGUGGACUGCUGCCACCAUGUGCACCUGCUGAUCCGCGAGCUGCUGCACAUAAUCAGCAUUAAAAAGGACGAUCCCAAGACCAAGGACGCCAUACUGUACCAUGGCGAGACGUGGGACCUUAUGCGCUGCCGCUGGGAGAAGAUCGAGAAGGACUUCAGCACAAAGUCAAAUCUGUUUGACAUCUCCAAGAUACCGGACAUCUACGACUGCAUCAAAUACGAUCUGCAGCACAACCAGCACACGUUGCAGUACGACCAGGCCGAGGAGCUGUACAUCUACGCCAAGAAUCUGGCCGACAUUGUCAUACCGCAGGAGUACGGCUUGACGCCGCAGGAGAAGCUGGCCAUUGGGCAGGGUAUCUGCUCGCCGCUGUUGCGCAAGAUCAAGGGCGAUCUGCAGCGGAACAUCGAUGAGGUCGAGGACGAGUUCAUGAACCGGCUGAAUCCACAUUACAGCCACGGCGUGGCCAGUCCCCAGCGCCAUGUCCGCACCCGUCUGUACUUCACCAGCGAGUCGCAUGUCCACUCCCUGCUCACCGUCCUCCGGUACGGCGGCCUUCUUAACGUGGUCACCGACGAGCAGUGGCGCCGCGCCAUGGACUACAUUUCCAUGGUGUCCGAGCUGAAUUACAUGUCCCAGAUCGUCAUCAUGCUGUACGAGGAUCCCACCAAGGAUCCCACCUCCGAGGAACGCUUCCACGUCGAGCUCCACUUUAGUCCGGGCGUCAACUGCUGCGUCCAGAAGAAUCUGCCGCCAGGGCCCGGCUUCCGGCCCCAUUCCCACGGCGACAAUGCCUGCAACGUGAGCCUGCAGUCCUCAGACGAGGCGAACCCUGCCCGAAUCGAGGAGGAGAACGACAACAACUCCGGGGAGGAGCAGAACACCAAAAAGGCAGGGAGCUGCGAGGAGAACAUUUCCGGCGCUGGCUCCAGCAGCAAUGUUUUCAGUGCCGGCUUCAACCGGCUGGAGUUGCGCACCAAGCACCUCAAGUCGAAGCCCAUUCCCAUCGGCUCGCACCACACGGUAAGUGGUCACGAGGCAAUGGAUCUGGCCAAGCGGCUCAACGAGGAGCUCGCCUCCCAGCAGCAGCAGCUCUCCCACAACCAGCAACAGCAGCAGCAGCAGCAGCAGCAGCAGCAGCAAUUGCGGCCCAUCAGCCCCGACAUGCGGGCCGUGAGUCCGGACUGCGAGCCGCGAUCCCGCAGCUUUGAGCAGCGUCCCACCUCCGGCAACUGUUGCAAGCAGACGGCUCCUUCCCCAAGCUUCGAAGAGAUAGACCACGCUCGGGUCGGCACCGGAGAAGGGGCUCCCAAGGGGGGCCAUCGCACGGCCUUUCAGAUACGCGUCACGGACACUCUGUCCUUCUUUAAGAUCGACUCCUCAACGAACGAACUGCCCCUGUCUGAUAUUGAUUUCUCCCUGAACCCGGGCACGCCCCAGUGCGGCCCGUCCCCCCACAAGCGGCUCCACGUGCUGACCAUGCGCCGCAUGGAGAGCUGUGAUGAGCCGGAUGACCUGAAGGCGGGUCGCGAGGUGCCCCAGCACCUGCAGCACCUGCCCCAGAUAUCGCCCAUGGCCACCAACGAGCGUCCGCUCAGCUGCAACUGCACCAGCUCGUCGGCCCUGGCGCUCCAUGCCCAGGCCCACUCGCACUCGAAGAGUCUGAUGGAUCUGGGCCAGACCCUGAGCAGCUCCGAGGUGGCACACAGCCCGUCGACGGGCCCCGAUCGAGCAGAUGCCGUCGAAGUCGGUGGCAGCAGCUUCGAUGAUGACUUUCAGCUCUCCAGCUCGGCGCCGGCAUGCCUGAUGACCGUCCCAUACGGGCGGCAACCUUCUGGAAUGGCAGCUCUGUCGCCCAAGAGCCAUGCCACCACCUCGCCCACCGCCUCCACCCUGAGGCUGUGCAAGGACAUGGAGGAGACCCAUUCAAAGGCACCAGCUGCCGAUAGUUGUGCCUCCAGUUCUGGGCACCGCAAGGCCACCAGUCACUCGUGUGGCCAGCUCUCGGUGAUGCCCAGCUCGGCGAUAGUGCUCCAGGAGAAUCCCUUUCGCUUUAUGGUCUCUUCGGUGGCAGCUGCUCCGCCUGGCGGGUGUUUUGUGAGCUGCUUCGAACCCAUAGCCGAGAAUGUCACACAAAAUCUGAAUCCCACGCCCACGCGUACACCCGAUCCCGAACGCGAACGCGAACCCACCACCACACCCACACCCACAAUUCAAACCAAUAUUGUAACCAGUAAAGUGGCAAAAGAGCAACAGCCACACCCACAGCCACUGGUGGUCUAUAAUCUGCCCACUUUGCUGGUUACUGCCACAGCAAGCCGAACCGAACUCAUACCAAUAACUACACCGACAAUUACACCAACACUAUCUACAACGACAACAACUACAACAACCAGAACAACAACAACAACAAUAGCAACUUUGCUCAAUAAUAAUACAGCAACAAUGUCUUCUAAUCAAACAUUUACUAACCAAUUCAAAUCGAUCGAUCCUUCCUCCUCUGACGCACACCAACACCAACACCAACAUGAAUACGAAACAACACCAAUACCAAUACCAACUUCAACAACAAUUACACCAAUCACCAAUCAACCAAUCAUUCAACAUAAUGACACUGACACCAACACCAAUACCAACAACACCACCGAUACAAACACAACAACUACCACGACCACCCCGUCUUGUUGUACCAAUACCAUCGCCACAGAUAGCACAGUUUCGGUGUCCGUAUCGGCCUCGGCCUCAUCGGCCAACUCGUCAACAUCAUCGCGUCGCCAAAGACACAGUAUUGCCGGCCAGAUGUCCUAUAUGAAAAUGUUGGGUUUCGGUGGUUUUAGCAAAAAGAUGGCCACCAGCGCGAAUAGCCUUUUCAGCACGGCAGUGAUAAGCGGCAGCUCAUCUGCCCCCAAUCUGCGGGACAUGAUACCGGUCUCGUCUUCCGGAUUUGGCGAUGUUCCACCGAUACGACCCCUGGAAACGCUCCACAAUGCUCUAUCGCUGCGCAAGUUGGACUGCUUCCUGCAGGACAUGAUCCUGGCGCAAAUAUUCAAGACCCCAACGGGUUCUCCGCCGCGCGCCUUCGACCACGGCGCCAUGCCGGCCGUCUCUUCAAUGGCACUUGCUGCACAUGUGGAUGAAGUCGCUUCAGUCGGUCCAGGCAUCGUCGGCGCUGGGGACACUCCGAGCACCCCGACGGGGGUGACGGGAAAAGUGGGCCAGUCGCCCCUCAGUGUGACCUUCCAAGGAUGCUGUAGCGAAUCGAACUCGAAUCAACGUGCCCGCGGAACGACGCCAGGGCAACAGGCUCCCCUCGGAAAUGGCGCUGGAAGAGCAGAACAAAGAACAGGAUGUGGACGAACGGAGGCAACACCGAACGUUUUUGGCCGCCAAAAAAGAACCUCCUUCAUUUUUAAUUUCAACCCCGAUCACUUUUCAAUUGCUCAUUCCGCAUUCGAUUCGCCCAUUCAUGACUCGAUUUUGCAUCGUCUCUAUCCAUAUCGCUUCCGCUUACUAACGGUUCAACUAAAAACUCUAUCCAAUUGGUCAACCCAUAAAAGAAAUCUGGCAGCAGCAGCAGGAUAGCCUCCAGGCAGCCUUGGCGGAUGAGGAACCACAAUCCGAGCUGGAGCUGAAGCAGCUGUUAUUCGAUCACUUUUCCGCUCCCAUCACACCAUAUUCGGAGCUUGCGGGACCCACGCCAGAUAUCUACCUGAACAUAAGUGAACAGGCACACAGCCU